CCUACGGGUGGCAGCAGUGGGGAAUAUUGCACAAUGGAGGAAACUCUGAAGCAGCGACGCCGCGUGAGGGAAGAAGUCUCUCGGGGUGUUAAGCUCUGUUAGCAGGGAAGUAAAUGACGGUACCUGACCAAUAAGCCCCGGCUAACUACGUGCCAGCAGCCCCGGGAAUACGUAGGGGGCAAGCGUUAUCCGGAUUUACUGGGCGUAAAGGGAGCGUAGACGGCAGGGUAAGUCUGGAGUGAAAGGCGGGGGCUCAACCCCAGGACUGCUCUGGAAACUGGCAGGCUGGAGUGCAGGUGAGGUAAGUGGAAUUCGUAGUGUAGCGGUGAAAUGCGUAGAUAUUACGAGGAACACCAGUGGCGAAGGCGGCUUACUGGACUGUAACUGACGUUGAGGCUCGAAAGCGUGGGUAGCAAACAGGAUUAGAUACCCUAGUAGUC
This 440-nucleotide ribosomal RNA is filed under the name uncultured bacterium. RNAcentral describes it as "partial 16S ribosomal RNA". It matches the Rfam family "Bacterial small subunit ribosomal RNA", at positions 338 to 795 of the family's 1533-position model. The record is from RNAcentral.